GACGAACGCUGGCGGCGGGCUUAACACAUGCAAGUCGAACGGAAAGGCCCUGCUUUUGUGGGGUGCUCGAGUGGCGAACGGGUGAGUAACACGUGAGUAACCUGCCCUUGACUUUGGGAUAACUUCAGGAAACUGGGGCUAAUACAGGAUAGGAGCUCCUGCUGCAUGGUGGGGGUUGGAAAGUUUCGGCGGGUGGGGAUGGACGCGCGGCUGAUCAGCUUGUUGGUGGGGUAGUGGCUUACCAAGGCUUUGACGGGUAGCCGGCCUGAGAGGGUGACCGGCCACAUUGGGACUGAGAUACGGCCCAGACUCCUACGGGAGGCAGCAGGGGGGAAUAUUGCACAAUGGGCGGAAGCCUGAUGCAGCAACGCCGCGUGCGUGAUGACGGCCUUCGGGUUGUAAACCGCUUUCGCCUGUGACGAAGCGGGAGUGACGGUAAUGGGUAAAGAAGCACCGGCUAACUACGUG
This 468-nucleotide ribosomal RNA is filed under the name uncultured bacterium. Its description in RNAcentral is "partial 16S ribosomal RNA". It matches the Rfam family "Bacterial small subunit ribosomal RNA", at positions 28 to 507 of the family's 1533-position model. The record is from RNAcentral.